This 789-nucleotide long non-coding RNA is filed under the name Capra hircus (goat). RNAcentral's name for it is "lncRNA (ENSCHIG00010019196.1)". The record is from RNAcentral. Lineage: Eukaryota; Metazoa; Chordata; Mammalia; Artiodactyla; Bovidae.
AGAUGUUCUGGUUUAUGAUUUCAGCUUCAGAGAACACAACCCUCUGAGAUCUAAGCUCAUGUAUCUCUCCCUGGCAUGCUGCCUGUUCAUUAACUGAACACUAAGGUCCAUUUGAGACUGACAACUAAAUGCUGAGACUAUUGGAACCCCUUUUUCCUACCUUCAAGGAGGUCUAGGAUCCUAUGGAGUAGUUAAGUGUUAGGCCCAGAUGCCUAGUUGCUGUACUUGCUAGAAAGUGACAAAGCACAGACUACCAAAAAGAUUCUGUCCAGAUGCCAGAACCAUGUCAGAUACAAAGUCACAUACAGCUGCUGUCUUUUCCAGUUUGGAUAAGCCAGAGGACAAUGUAUUCUCUCUCCUUUCGAAGACAGAGUAGGGACUAAACUCAUGGAGGUCUCAGAUCCUGGUUCCUGGUGAUGUGGUUAUGGCAAGCAUCCCUGAGACAAAACAAUGACGGAGCGGUGGAAAAACAAAACAAAACAGCUGCAGUAGGAUGGCAUACUCUGAGCUUGGUCUGAGGUACAGAUGUUCAGGAGUUCCAACUGCCUGCUGCUGCUGUUGGAUGAAGGCUAUAAGAAGAGUCCAAGUACUCUCACUGAAGGAUCUCAUAGCAUGGAAUGUACGUGCCAGGACACCUAGAACUUUCUGGAAUACAGAAAUGAUGGAAUAACUGAGGGAAGGGAAGUGAAGUAUGCAGCUGAAUUCCAGAAAAAACACGGUCCUGACAGUUCAUAUCUGAACCAGUCCUAGUCUGUCUUCCUAACUCUCCUACCAUCUACCCUGAAUGCU